RNAcentral lists this unclassified non-coding RNA (203 nucleotides) under Hevea brasiliensis (rubber tree). Lineage: Eukaryota; Viridiplantae; Streptophyta; Magnoliopsida; Malpighiales; Euphorbiaceae. The record is from RNAcentral.
CAUGCAUCUGAAAUACUCAGAUUACAGUUGGGAUAUUUUAAUUUUUCAUUCACUCUUUUUUGAUCCUGGUCUGGGCAACGUUUCCCCUAGGUUGCAAAAAGAAAAUACAUUGUAUAUGUAACAUGUUCCCAUGUAUAUUGGACUUGGCUAUUGUCAACCACCACAAGUUCCUCUGGCAUGAUGCUUAUGAGGAGGAGAGAGAG